This 254-nucleotide ribosomal RNA is filed under the name uncultured bacterium. RNAcentral describes it as "partial 16S ribosomal RNA". It matches the Rfam family "Bacterial small subunit ribosomal RNA", at positions 524 to 776 of the family's 1533-position model. The record is from RNAcentral.
UACGCAGGGGCCUAGCGUUGUCCGGAUUUAUUGGGCGUAAAGAGCUCGUAGGCGGUUGAGUAAGUCGGGUGUGAAAACUCUGGGCUUAACCCAGAGCCGCCACUCGAUACUGCUCUGACUUGAGUUCGGUAGGGGAGCAGGGAAUUCCUAGUGUAGCGGUGAAAUGCGCAGAUAUUAGGAGGAACACCGGUGGCGAAGGCGCUGCUCUGGGCCGAAACUGACGCUGAGGAGCGAAAGCGUGGGUAGCAAACAGG